RNAcentral lists this ribosomal RNA (501 nucleotides) under uncultured bacterium. Its description in RNAcentral is "partial 16S ribosomal RNA". It matches the Rfam family "Bacterial small subunit ribosomal RNA", at positions 30 to 523 of the family's 1533-position model. The record is from RNAcentral.
AUUGAACGCUGGCGGCAGGCUUAACACAUGCAAGUCGAGCGGGGAAGGGUAGCUUGCUACCUGACCUAGCGGCGGACGGGUGAGUAAUGCUUAGGAAUCUGCCUAUUAGUGGGGGACAACAUUCCGAAAGGAAUGCUAAUACCGCAUACGCCCUACGGGGGAAAGCAGGGGAUCUUCGGACCUUGCGCUAAUAGAUGAGUCUAAGUCAGAUUAGCUAGUUGGUGGGGUAAAGGACUACCAAGGCGACGAUCUGUAGCGGGUCUGAGAGGAUGAGCCGCCACACUGGGACUGAGACACGGCCCAGACUCCUACGGGAGGCAGCAGUGGGGAAUAUUGGACAAUGGGCGAAAGCCUGAUCCAGCCAUGCCGCGUGUGUGAAGAAGGCCUUUUGGUUGUAAAGCACUUUAAGCGAGGAGGAGGCUACCGAGAUUAAUACUCUUGGAUAGUGGACGUUACUCGCAGAAUAAGCACCGGCUAACUCUGUGCCAGCCGCCGCCGUAA